CCUAACACAUGCAAGUCGAACGGUAACAGGAAGCAGCUUGCUGCUUCGCUGACGAGUGGCGGACGGGUGAGUAAUGUCUGGGAAGCUGCCUGAUGAAGGGGGAUAACUACUGGAAACGGUAGCUAAUACCGCAUAAUGUCGCAAGACCAAAGAGGGGGACCUUCGGGCCUCUUGCCAUCGGAUGUGCCCAGAUGGGAUUAGCUUGUUGGUGGGGUAACGGCUCACCAAGGCGACGAUCCCUAGCUGGUCUGAGAGGAUGACCAGCCACACUGGAACUGAGACACGGUCCAGACUCCUACGGGAGGCAGCAGUGGGGAAUAUUGCACAAUGGGCGCAAGCCUGAUGCAGCCAUGCCGCGUGUAUGAAGAAGGCCUUCGG
RNAcentral lists this ribosomal RNA (378 nucleotides) under uncultured bacterium. Its description in RNAcentral is "bacterial SSU rRNA". It matches the Rfam family "Bacterial small subunit ribosomal RNA", at positions 47 to 421 of the family's 1533-position model. The record is from RNAcentral.